Molecule: unclassified non-coding RNA, 2422 nt
Filed under: Hevea brasiliensis (rubber tree)
Lineage: Eukaryota; Viridiplantae; Streptophyta; Magnoliopsida; Malpighiales; Euphorbiaceae
Source: RNAcentral
UCAAAAUCAUCAUGCUAGUCCUAUGCAACCUCACUUUCAAAAAUCUUUGGAUUCAAAAACUUCUUAUGAUAAUUUUGAGGAACAACAAAAGACUGUUCGUCAAGGUCCUAAUUCACAAUAUGCUCCUGCUCAUCAGGUGCCCCAGAAUUACCAACCUCCUGCACAAACAGUCCCAUCACUGGAUACACGAAGGAUAAGCAAAUUGCAGAUUCCAACAAAUCCGAGAAUUGCGUCAAAUUUGGCUUUGGGUUUAUCAAAAACCGAUAAGGAUAGUUCUGCAACUGGUGCAGCAGCAGCAGCAAAACCUGCUUAUAUUGCUGUCUCAAUGCCAAAGCAAAGUGAUAAAGUGUUGUCUACUGAUGCGGCUGAUUCCAUACUGAAGCCUGGCAUGUUCCCCAAUUCACUACGCUUUUAUGUUGAAAGGGCUUUGAAACGUUGUCAAGAUCACUGUAAAAAUGAUCCACAAAUGGCAUCUUGUCAGGCUGUUAUGAAGGAGAUUAUUACUCAGGCAACUGCUGAUGGUACACUACACACUCGAGACUGGGAUACUGAGCCUCUUUUUCCAUUACCGAACCCUGAUUGUGCCAACAAGGAGAGCUCACAAUCUUCAACUCCUGUUGCUUCAUUACCGAAGUACAGAAGGAGUCCUAGCAAACGAUCCAAAAGUAGGUGGGAGCCUUUACCUGAGGAGAAGUUGGUUGAAAAACCUGCUUCUGUCAGUAAUGAUAAUGUAAAAUUUGGUGGCUGGGAGAGAAAGCCUUUAAUUGGGAAUUCUGAGAGCAAGGUUGACGCUUUCAGUGACCUAAAGUACUCUUUAUCAGAGCAGAAAACUGUGAGUAAGAGUGCCCAGAGGCCACUCAAGAAGCAGCGUAUGGCUGAUGCCUUUAAUAGUGCUGAAAAUGGUGAUGCAUCAAGUGAUAGCGAUAAGGAACAAAGUUUAACAACUUAUUAUUCUGGUGCAAUAGCGCUUGCAAAUUCACCUGAGGAAAAAAAGAAACGUGAAAAUCGCUCUAAGCGUUUUGAAAAAGCGCAAGGACAUCGAUCAGAAAGUAAUUACUUCAAACCAAAAAAUGCUGGAGCUGGAAACCUGUACAGUAAACGGGCUAGUGCCUUGAUGAUUAGCAAAAAUUUCGAUGAUGGUGGAAGCAGGGCUGUUGAAGAUAUUGACUGGGAUGCACUAACUGUUAAAGGGACCUGCCAAGAAAUUGAGAAACGAUAUUUGCGACUCACUUCUGCACCUGAUCCUUCCACUGUGAGGCCAGAAGAAGUGCUAGAGAAAGCUCUGCUUAUGAUUCAAAAUUCACAGAAGAACUACCUUUAUAAAUGUGAUCAGUUGAAGUCCAUUCGCCAAGAUCUAACUGUACAACGAAUACAAAAUCAGCUAACAGUUAAGGUCUAUGAAACUCAUGCUCGGUUAGCGAUGGAAGUAGGGGACUUGCCAGAGUAUAACCAGUGCCAAUCACAGUUAAAAACUCUCUAUGCUGAAGGAAUUGAAGGAUGCCAUAUGGAGUUUGCUGCUUACAACUUACUUUGUGUUAUCUUGCACUCUAAUAACAACCGAGAUCUUGUAUCAUCAAUGUCAAGAUUAACAGAGGAAGCAAAGAAGAAUAAAGCUGUUAAACAUGCUCUUGCAGUACGUGCAGCUGUCACCUCAGGAAACUAUGUUAUGUUCUUCAGACUUUACAAGACAGCUCCUAACUUGAACUCAUGCCUUAUGGAUCUUUAUGUUGAAAAAAUGCGAUAUAAGGCUGUAAGCUGCAUGUCCCGGUCAUAUCGCCCUACCGUACCUGUUUCGUACAUUGCAGAGGUUUUGGGCUUCUCCAGCACAGGUGAAGGAAAUGACCAGAAGGACUCGGAUGGAUUAGAGGAAUGUGUAGAAUGGUUGAAAGCACAUGGUGCAUGUCUCACUGUAGAUAGUAUCGGAGAGAUGCAGCUUGAUACAAAGGCUUCCUCUUCUAGUCUUUAUAUUCCAGAACCAGAGGAUGCUGUGUCCCAUGGAGAUGCUAGUCUGGCUGUUAAUGAUUUCCUGACAAGGACAUCCUUGUAGUCGAUAUGAUUGUGUAUCUAAUUGUAUUUGAUUGCAUUAGCAAGAAAAUCGUGCAGCCCUCAACAAUGUGAUGUAAAACCAGAAGAUUUAGGUUUAUUUCCUGAUCUUGGAACCGAGAGGUCAAAACUUGUAGAGGGUUACCUGUAACAGUAGCGAGGGUAGAUCACAGGCAUGAAAGGAAACAAAUACAGAAGUAGGGCAAAAGUUCCCUAGAAAUGCAAUGCUUAGUAUUUGCAGAGGGAUUGAGCUGGCUGCUACCACCACAGCAUGUGAUUUAGAUUCUUCCUUUUUGGGUCUUGAACAAUGAUUCAUUCUUUCUGUUGGGGAACAUGGAACAGAACUUGUUGAAUAUUAGUUUGAGGAAGAAAAUAAGAA